GUGUCAGCCGCCGCGGUAAUACGUAGGGGGCAAGCGUUGUCCGGAUUUAUUGGGCGUAAAGCGCACGCAGGCGGUCUUCUAAGUUUCGAGUGACAGGUGGUGGCUUAACUACCACAGGCCUUGGAAAACUGGAAGACUUGAGGACGAGAGAGGGACGCGGAAUUCCAGGUGGAGCGGUGAAAUGCGUAGAGAUCUGGAAGAACACCAAAGGCGAAGGCAGCGUUCUGGCUCGUAACUGACGCUCAUGUGCGAAAGCCAGGGGAGCGAACGGGAUUAGAUACCCCGGUAGUCCUGGCCGUAAACGAUGACCACUAGACGUAGGAGGUAUCGACCCCUUCUGUGUCGCAGCUAACGCAUUAAGUGGUCCGCCUGGGGAGUACGGUCGCAAGAUUAAA
Molecule: ribosomal RNA, 395 nt
Filed under: uncultured bacterium
Lineage: Bacteria
Description: bacterial SSU rRNA
Rfam family: Bacterial small subunit ribosomal RNA
Source: RNAcentral